Molecule: ribosomal RNA, 497 nt
Filed under: uncultured bacterium
Lineage: Bacteria
Description: partial 16S ribosomal RNA
Rfam family: Bacterial small subunit ribosomal RNA
Source: RNAcentral
GAUGAACGCUGGCGGCGUGCCUAAUACAUGCAAGUCGAGCGAACAGAUGAGGAGCUUGCUCCUCUGACGUUAGCGGCGGACGGGUGAGUAACACGUGGAUAACCUACCUAUAAGACUGGGAUAACUUCGGGAAACCGGAGCUAAUACCGGAUAAUAUAUUGAACCGCAUGGUUCAAUAGUGAAAGACGGUUUUGCUGUCACUUAUAGAUGGAUCCGCGCCGCAUUAGCUAGUUGGUAAGGUAACGGCUUACCAAGGCAACGAUGCGUAGCCGGCCUGAGAGGGUGAGCAGGCCCACCGGGAAUGAGACACGGGCCAAACCCCUAAGGGAGGGCGCAGGGGGGGAUAUUUCCCAAUGGGCGGAAACCUGAACGGGACAACGCGGGGGGGUGGAGGAGGCUUUUGGGUUGUAAAACCUCUUUUUUGGGGAAAAAAAAAAGGAGGAAAAAACUACGCAGGUCUUAAGGGAACCAAAGAAAAAAGCCCGGGUAAACUCGGG